UACGAAGGGGGCUAGCGUUGCUCGGAAUCACUGGGCGUAAAGCGCACGUAGGCGGCUUCUUAAGUCAGGGGUGAAAUCCUGGAGCUCAACUCCAGAACUGCCUUUGAUACUGAGGAGCUUGAGUCCGGGAGAGGUGAGUGGAACUGCGAGUGUAGAGGUGAAAUGCGUAGAUAUCUGGAAGAACACCAGUGGCGAAGGCGGUCAACUGGCCCGUAACUGACGCUCAGGCACGAAAGCGUGGGUAGCGAACAGG
RNAcentral lists this ribosomal RNA (253 nucleotides) under uncultured bacterium. RNAcentral's name for it is "partial 16S ribosomal RNA". It matches the Rfam family "Bacterial small subunit ribosomal RNA", at positions 524 to 776 of the family's 1533-position model. The record is from RNAcentral.